RNAcentral lists this ribosomal RNA (254 nucleotides) under uncultured bacterium. RNAcentral's name for it is "partial 16S ribosomal RNA". It matches the Rfam family "Bacterial small subunit ribosomal RNA", at positions 524 to 776 of the family's 1533-position model. The record is from RNAcentral.
UACAGAGACUGCAAGCGUUAUUCGGAUUCACUGGGCGUAAAGCGUGCGUAGGCGGUUUGUUAAGUCCGUUGUGAAAGCCCUGGGCUCAACCUGGGAAUUGCAGUGGAUACUGGCGAGCUAGAGUGCGGUAGAGGAUGGUGGAAUUCCCGGUGUAGCGGUGAAAUGCGUAGAGAUCCGGAAGAACACCGGUGGCGAAGGCGGCCCGCUGGGAUACUUGCUGACGCUGAGGCGCGACAGCGUGGGGAGCAAACAGG